GACCUUCGGAUCAGGUAAAGGAUACCCGCUGAACUUAA
Molecule: ribosomal RNA, 38 nt
Filed under: Palicella filamentosa
Lineage: Eukaryota; Fungi; Ascomycota; Lecanoromycetes; Lecanorales; Lecanoraceae
Description: partial 28S ribosomal RNA
Source: RNAcentral